Non-coding RNA from Pelobates cultripes (western spadefoot toad), 400 nucleotides. NCBI's taxonomy places the organism in Eukaryota, Metazoa, Chordata, Amphibia, Anura, Pelobatidae. The record is from the annotation of a GenBank genome assembly.
GUAGGGGCAAUGAAAUAGGUUGCUAGAAAAGUAUUCACUGAGAACUUAGUAGGUUAUUUUUGACAGUUGCAGGAGAGGAGUCAUGGGGGUAGAUGGAAACCCACUAACAGUUUAAUUGAUAUGCUUUCCUGAAGAAGUGUGUUUUCAAAGAUUUUUUGAAGGAGUGGAGACUGGGUAAAAGUCUAAUGGAGAAGGGAAGGGAGUUCCACAGAAAAGGUGCAGCCCUGGAGAAGUUUUGGAGGCGAGCAUCAAAUGUGGGAGUACAGACAGAGGGUAGACCCAGGUCUUCGGCAGAGCGCAGGGGCCUCGAUGGGACAUUUUUGUGUAUUAGGUAGGAUAGGUAGGAUGGAGCAGCAUUUUGUAGGGACUUGUAAACAAGCACCCGGAUCUUAAAGGGAAC